AGCAGCCGCGGUAAUUCCAGCUCCAAUAGCGUAUAUUAAAGUUGUUGCAGUUAAAAAGCUCGUAGUUGAACUUCAGGCCUGUCCAGAUGGUCCGCCUUAAUUGGUGUGUACUGUCCUUGGGUGGGUCCUACCUUCUGGCGAAGCGGCAUGGCCUUAGUUGGUUGUGUCGGGGAACCAGGACUUUUACUGUGAAAAAAUUAGAGUGUUCAAAGCAGGCAUAAUAUGCUCGAAUACAUUAGCAUGGAAUAAUGGAAUAGGACGAUGGUUCUAUUUUGUUGGUUCUAGGACCGUUGUAAUGAUUAAUAGGGAUAGUUGGGGGCAUUAGUAUUCAAUUGUCAGAGGUGAAAUUCUUGGAUUUAUUGAAGACUAACUACUGCGAAAGCAUUUGCCAAGGAUGUUUUCAUUAAUCAAGAACGAAAGUUAGGGGAUCGAAGACGAUCAGAUACCGUC
Molecule: ribosomal RNA, 450 nt
Filed under: uncultured Glomeromycotina
Lineage: Eukaryota; Fungi; Glomeromycota
Description: bacterial SSU rRNA
Rfam family: Eukaryotic small subunit ribosomal RNA
Source: RNAcentral